UUAGACCGAAUACUCGUUAUUCGCUAGUUGGCCGUCUUGUGAACACCUAACGAGUUUUGCAACAUUGCACACACAUUCUCUCUCUCUCUCUCUCUCUCUCUCUCUCUCUCUCUUCUCCUCUUCCNUUUAUAAGCUUGGGACAUUAUAAUCAGGGCCGGUCCAUUGGUUUUUACUACCCAGUGCAAAAUAAAAAUUUAUGCCCCUAAGUUUAUACCGUUGAAAAGACAAAAGGUAAAUAAAAAUAUAUAAUAACAAAACUAUAAUAAAUUUUAUAGUCAAAUAAAAUCAAUAAACAAAAACCUACAAAAUCACCUAAAACGAUGCAUUAAUGCAAUGGUGAUUUACAUAAUUUAUUAUUGAAGAGCUAACAUUUCCAAAUCAUAACAUAAAUUCCAUAGAAUACUAGCCAUGGGAGGUCAUUGAUGUAAAAGAUAACAAAUAAACUCCAUAGAAUACAAACCUUUAUAAACAAUUUUAAAUUCCUUCCAGAACGAAAUUACAAAGCUUGAGUCAACAUGUAAGAAUAAUCCCACUAAUUUCUUGUAUUCAGAAAGAUGGAGUCUAUGACUUUACAAAAAUUAAGAAUAUAAAUUCUCAAAAGAAGCCACUAUGAAUUUCAAAAACUAAGAAUAUACACAAAUGUCAACUCUAUGGAGCCAUAAUUCUUUCCCUGAGGCAUGCAGCCAUUUUCAAAGCCUUUAUGAAAUCAAUUUUGCAAGUUCACUGUGAAUUUAUACAUUAGUUAGAAGCCUAUAAAACUAAAAGGUAAAAGACAAUUUUUUCUGAUAUAUAUUUCAAAUUAGACCACAAAAAUUAUACCCGAGAUUUUGAAAUUUUCGACUAUUGAGAUUUUUGAACUUCUGAGAUGAGAGUCAAACUCCUCAGAAGAGUGAAGACCAUCGAACUCCAACCCACACAAAUCUUAAAACUCCAAUCCAAUAAACAGAUUAGUAAUACAAGUAUCAGAGUGAAUUAGUUUGCAUAUUAGAGAGACAAAAAAAAACCUACCGAAGCCUCUAGUCUCCUCUCUUCAGAAAUCAGAAUCAAUCUGUUUAUCUCUGGAGUUAGGCGUCCCUUGUCCAGUAGAGAACAACAAAUCAGAUUGUAAACUUCUAACUCACAGAAAAAUAAUCGACCCUACAACCACGAUAUUAAUUAGAGAAAUCACAAAUAAGAACUUGAAAAUUACCAAAAUUGGAGUAUAUAGAAAUCAAAAAUCGAUUCACAAACAACUUAGGAGCUAUGUAAUCGACUGAUAACUAAGAAAUUUGAAGGGCAAAAUAUCAUAUUUAGAGAGAAUAAGAGAAAUCAUCAAAUAGGUUACGGGUUCUUACUUUUUAUUUAUCAGAUCGAUGCCCACAUCUACGUGAUUCUAGGGCAUUGAGUUCUCCAAACUCCAAUCGACAACAACGUGUUCUAUGCAGCGGACAUUUCAUUUUUCUAGGCGCAGUUGACGAAAAUUGAAAACGGAUAUAGGAUAUGUAUACCAGAGUUGAUUUGGCACCUUUUCU
Molecule: long non-coding RNA, 1511 nt
Filed under: Lactuca sativa (garden lettuce)
Lineage: Eukaryota; Viridiplantae; Streptophyta; Magnoliopsida; Asterales; Asteraceae
Description: long non-coding RNA (LSAT_LNC008361)
Source: RNAcentral